AUUGAUGCGGAAUACUGAGAACCAAACCAAAACAAAAAAAAAUAUAUAAAACCAUGACACACUAUUUUCCAUGACAGCUAAUACUCCAGCAAGAAACAUGAGGCUUCAAAUGAUGUGAUGGGGAAUUUAACCCAAGACUGGAAGAUAAGGUGAAAUGGAAAACUGGAGAUGAUCAGAUGCUCGAAGAGAAGGAGAACCUUUUCUAGAAAUACCAUCUGGAACUGGAAAAUAUCAAGUGGAGGAGCAACCAUCCCUUUUCUAACAGGAACAGUUACCAGGACAGACUGACUGCUUCACCAUGAUGAUCCCAGAAGAUUCUCUGGAAUUAUUGCUCAAAGGUUGCUGCUGAGGUUGUCCCAUGAAACCCUGCUCUCCCCAUCUGCUUAACCUUCACAUGACCUCCAUCUUCAGUAAUUCAAAUAGCUGAGGGACUAGAAAGACAACACCUCUGCAAUAGAAGUUCCAUACAACUGGCAGAAUAUGAGAACACUGUCAUUCCCAUGUGGAGCUCCUACAACGUCAACGUGAUGCCAGUGGACAUAGCAAGCUGCCUUAAAUACCAACUGCAGAAACACCAUAGCACUAUUAGCUGAAAAUUCUUGACUCUACCAGCUAGUUCAAGAGCAAGUCUGAAGCAGGGGUUUGCACUGUGCAGGCUGUAUCUAUCCCAUAGGCAACUGCGACUGUGGCUCAUAGUCUUCCAGAUGAAUUUGGCUAUUCACUUGGCUAAGCAAUUUGGCCAACACAAUUGUGAGAUGUUGAAGAGCAAGCAACAUGGUCAGAAAUGUGCAAGUGAAAUAAUACCACAACAAGUGACACCUCCUGUUUACAUCAGGUAACAGAGAAGAGCAUCGGUCAGUGGGGACUGCUGGGCACCCCACGUAAUCUCAUUGACCAAAAUGAGUGGUCUAAGGGCUCUUUCAUCCUGUAAUUUGGCAACUAGAGCAAAGAAAAUGGCACUGAAUGGAAAAGCCAAUUUCUGGUUUUCUUGAUGCGAAGAGUUCUCCCAGAAAGUCUGGUCCAAGCACAACAACAAUCACAAAUAUGCCAGUGAAUGCUCUGCUGGGGAGUUUGCCCAAAAAACAUUAUAAGGCCCAGAUGAACAUCAUCCAGAGAAAUUCUGUUUUGUUCUAAAAAAUGUUAGUGAAACAAAGACUGGCUAUUGUUUUCAUCAUUGUGCUGCUCAUCUAUUCUGCUUUCACUUGCAAGCUUCCACUGGUAUCAACUGUUUUUGUUUGUUUGUUUGUUUGUUUGUUUGUUGCAUUUGAGUGUACCAUAUUAUUCUUUCCUUUCAUAGUCCUGAAACAUUCAACAAACAAGAAAGCAUGAGGAAGUAUUUUUCUCUUUGAGGAAGCAACAGAGAACAAAAGAGGGAUAAAGAAAAAAAAAAAAAGACAAAAAUCAAUUUGACCAUCAUUUUGGAAUAUCACUCAAAUGUGAACAGAGUAGAAGAAAAGGUUAAAGCCCAUAGCAGUUAGAGAUCUAGUGUGCAGCUCUAGGCAGACUUUUGUAUGCUUCUUGUACUUUACACUUCUGCCUUCUGAAUCCUUCUGCUGGUAAGUAUAUAUUAUUAUCAACUUCUGUGUUACCAUGGAGAAAAGGAGACACAGUGAAAGAACAAACAUGAAAAAACAAUGAUACUGAAGAGAAACAAAAAUCACUGGUUAUAGGAAAAGACAGAAUCUACCUGUAAAGAUACAACAACAACAACAACAACAAAAGAAAAGAAAGAAAAAAAAAAA
Molecule: long non-coding RNA, 1742 nt
Organism: Meleagris gallopavo (turkey)
Lineage: Eukaryota; Metazoa; Chordata; Aves; Galliformes; Phasianidae
Source: RefSeq, a predicted model, not a curated record